CCAGACUCCUACGGGAGGCAGCAGUGGGGAAUAUUGCACAAUGGGGGGAACCCUGAUGCAGCGAUGCCGCGUGGAGGAAGAAGGUUUUCGGAUUGUAAACUCCUUUUAUCAGGGACGAUAAUGACGGUACCUGAAGAAAAAGCUCCGGCUAACUACGUGCCAGCAGCCGCGGUAAUACGUAGGGAGCGAGCGUUGUCCGGAAUUACUGGGUGUAAAGGGAGUGUAGGCGGCUUAUCAAGUUAGAUGUGAAAUCCCGCGGCUUAACCGCGGAACUGCAUCUAAAACUGGUGAGCUGGAGUGCAGGAGAGGUGAGUGGAAUUCCUAGUGUAGCGGUGGAAUGCGUAGAUAUUAGGAGGAACACCAGAGGCGAAGGCGACUCACUGGACUGUAACUGACGCUGAGGCUCGAAAGCGUGGGGAGCAAACAGGAUUAGAUACCCGAGUA
RNAcentral lists this ribosomal RNA (444 nucleotides) under uncultured bacterium. Its description in RNAcentral is "bacterial SSU rRNA". It matches the Rfam family "Bacterial small subunit ribosomal RNA", at positions 331 to 792 of the family's 1533-position model. The record is from RNAcentral.